Molecule: ribosomal RNA, 102 nt
Filed under: Sinocyclocheilus grahami
Lineage: Eukaryota; Metazoa; Chordata; Actinopteri; Cypriniformes; Cyprinidae
Source: RNAcentral
GCUAUAUCACCCUGUAGCCCAAGACUAAUCACCCACUGAAGCUAAGCAGGCUUGAGCCUGGUCAGUACCUGGAUGGGAGACCUCCUGGGAAAACUAGGUUGC